ACGCACGCUGGCGGCGUGCUUCACACAUGCAAGUCGAACGGAAAGGCCCUGCUUUUGUGGGGUGCUCGCGUGGCGAACGGGUGAGCAACACGUGAGUAACCUGCCCUUGACUUUGGGAUAACUUCAGGAAACUGGGGCUAAUACCGGAUAGGAGCUCCUGCUGCAUGGGGGGGGUUGGAAAGUUUCGGCGGUUGGGGAUGGACUCGCGGCUUAUCAGCUUGUUGGUGGGGUAGUGGCUUACCAAGGCUUUGACGGGUAGCCGGCCUGAGAGGGUGACCGGCCACAUUGGGACUGAGAUACGGCCCAGACUCCUACGGGAGGCAGCAGUGGGGAAUAUUGCACAAUGGGCGGAAGCCUGAUGCAGCAACGCCGCGUGCGGGAUGACGGCCUUCGGGUUGUAAACCGCUUUCGCCUGUGACGAAGCGUGAGUGACGGUAAUGGGUAAAGAAGCACCGGCUAACUACGUG
Molecule: ribosomal RNA, 467 nt
Filed under: uncultured bacterium
Lineage: Bacteria
Description: partial 16S ribosomal RNA
Rfam family: Bacterial small subunit ribosomal RNA
Source: RNAcentral